RNAcentral lists this ribosomal RNA (279 nucleotides) under uncultured bacterium. RNAcentral describes it as "partial 16S ribosomal RNA". It matches the Rfam family "Bacterial small subunit ribosomal RNA", at positions 506 to 784 of the family's 1533-position model. The record is from RNAcentral.
UGCCAGCAGCCGCGGUAAUACGGAAGGUGCAAGCGUUAUCCGGAAUCACUGGGCGUAAAGCGUACGUAGGCGGACUGAUCAGUCAGAGGUGAAAUCCCAGGGCUCAACCCUGGAACUGCCUUUGAUACUGUCAGUCUUGAGUUCGAGAGAGGUGAGUGGAAUUCCAAGUGUAGAGGUGAAAUUCGUAGAUAUUUGGAGGAACACCAGUGGCGAAGGCGGCUCACUGGCUCGAUACUGACGCUGAGGUACGAAAGUGUGGGGAGCAAACAGGAUUAGAUA